Molecule: long non-coding RNA, 3363 nt
Filed under: Heterocephalus glaber (naked mole-rat)
Lineage: Eukaryota; Metazoa; Chordata; Mammalia; Rodentia; Bathyergidae
Description: lncRNA (ENSHGLG00100034114.1)
Source: RNAcentral
CAGGAAGGAAGCCGGCUCUGCAGAGCGAGUUUGGGCAGGGGUGAGUAGGAGACGAAGCACACCCCACAGCGUGGGCACAGGCCCCUGUGGGGGCCGCGGCACCGCAGCAGCAGGCGCAGUGGCUUCUGCCUGGUGCUGCCCGCUCCCUGGGCUGAGGCCAGGCCUAGGCCAGCCUAUCCAAUUGUGCAGUUGGGAGCUGUCCCGCGAGGGUGUCCCUGGAGCUUGCAAUUAGCAGGGCACGGCACUUUCCCCGCCAGCCUGCCGCGUUCUCUCCAGCUGCCUGGCUAUGAGGUUUCCAUCAGUGACUCACAUCUGGGUUGUCUAAAGGAGCGCAGGUCAUUAGGCUGUGAAGCACAUCACCCUCGCCGUGUGUCCGAGCUCGGUCUUCCCCUCAGAAGCCUGACGUCAGCGAGGCCCUUGCUCCAGUCCUCCGCAGCACGAGCCUGUGCUCCGGCUCAACAGUGGACUUGGAUAGGGAGCUAGUUUUGCAAAAAGAAGAGAGGGCGAGGAGCACUGCUACUCCUGGCUGUCUUAGCCACGCUGCCUGGCUUCCAAGGCUGGUGCUGCCAGCGGGGCCCCCUGCCCAGUGCACGAGGCACUGUGGACUCGGUCCCAGGUACGGCGGGAGCCAUGCCUCGCAGGAUACUCUGGGGCGAGUCUUGCUUGCGCUCCCAGCUGCACAGCCCUGGCCUGGUUGCUCUCCUUGCUGGUGUGUGAACAGGCCAGAGCCUUCCAAUCCUGGAGCAGCAGCUCGAGUUUCUGUGUUCACAGUGAGGCUUUCUGGCUGACCCAGACCUGCAUUGACUUAGGAGAUAUCCUUCCAAAAGAAAAUGUUCUAUUUGUCCAGCAGUAACACUGUUUACAGAGCUGCAAGCUUUACUCUUUGAUGAUAAGGAAAGUUGAGAAACACAGAUGUUUUUCACUGGCCAGUGGUACUGUCUGGGUCAGCCUCCAGCUAGCAUAAAUAAUCGAGGAGGAACACAAUGCUCUUUGAAAUAUGAAAAAUCUUUUAAGAAAUGUAUUAUUGAUGCUAUGAAAACCAAAGACGAGAUUCAGGAAUGGAAAAUAAAGAUGGUACCUGCCAUACAGGGUGUGGUGCUGUCCACUCUGGCCAACAGACAGACAAGACCUUACAGGGAAUGAACAGCUGGUCACUGGCGCGGCACUGCUCAUGGGUCGAAUGCAGUGCUUCCAGCUCUUUCCCCAAAUGGCCUGGUAGAGAACCCUGCUUCCCAUUCACCUCGCCUCAACACGGCUGCAGGGCUUCGCCCUCAGCAUUAAUCUGUGUGUAUUUGCUAGACCGGAUCGUAAACGAAUGCAGGGAAUCUAAAUGGCCCCACCUCCGACGUGGCCCGCUGUGCACUGGGCAUGGGUCUAGAUCCCGAGGGUGCCCAGGGCUGGCCCAGCAGCCAGCAGAGAAAUCCAGGUUGUGGUGGCUUCCAUAUGACAGUUCCGCCCCUGCCUGCCUGCAGCACUUUCCACCCCAGACGCCCGGUCAGCCUCCGUGCUUCCUCUGCUUCCUCUGCUCUGGCUGGGCCCCACCAUCUGCACCCCGAGUCUGGGCUGUGGUGGAGUCUUAGCAGACGUGGCGCGACUGCGGCGUGUUUUUCUGUGCAAGGUUCGCUCUGUUCACUUCUGAUGUCCAGUGUUGCUUUUUCCAGUCAUUGGCCUAAUGAGCCCUCACUUCCCGUGGACUAACUUCUGGGUGCUUCCAGGCGGCCCACGGGGACACCCUCCUGCCGGGAGAGACAUCUGUGCACUGUUCCUUUCAGCCCUGUGCUGCCCCUGGAUGAUUUUAGUGACGGUGUCACCUGCUGCCUGGGAGGGCAGAGCCGAUCCCCUGGUGUGUCCCACAGGAGGCAUUGGGCUUCUCCUUCUCACCUUUAUUUCGACAGAGACACACUGAAUCCCCAAAGUAAGUUUUGCUGAAGGUGGAAAUCUGAUAAGGUGGCAAUAAACACUGAGACUAGGAUCAUGAAACUGAGCCCUCUUAUACUCAGUCCGGCUUCCCCAUCUUCGCUUUCAACCCAUGGGGCGGCCUUUCCUCUCGCUCUGCUCUCGAGGUCUGUUUCUGCAAGUGCAGACCUCGGCGUCCUGGGACAGGAGCUGCACCCACUCCGACCCUCAGCGCUGGUCCCUGCUGCCCGAGGGCCUCCUCUCUCCAGACCUGGAUCUCGGUGUAGCCGUGAGUUACAGGGGAAGAGACGCCUCAGGGGCCCAUCCCAGCCCGGCCAGGCCUGUCUGAGGGAUUUGCCAGGCGCCAGGCCUUCUCCGAGUGCUGGUGAUAAAAAUUUAUCUCGUUCAGAAAAGAUCAUUCUUCGGCUAAGAAAAGCCAGAUCUUGCUUGCUCCGGGCAUGGCUGGACACAAGUGACGUCGUCCGAUCCUCUCUCAUUUGACAGAGCUUCCUGUUCCGUAUCCGUCUCCAUCUCUGCCCCUCCCUCUUUUUCUUCUUUUUUCUCCUUUAUUUCCCCUUCUACUGAGUCCAUCUGCAUGGAAAAUGCCUCACAUUUUGACAAAAAUGACCACCAGCAAUUUUGGAUUUAUGUUAAAUGACAGCAAUCUCAACUCAGAGAGGAAGAUGUGAUGUCUUCCCAAUGGUCCUAGGAAGGUCCCAAAGGACACUGGAUGAGCCUGGCUCCCCACCCGGCACUGAGGGUAGAGCAUGGGAUUGCCCAGGCCGGGUGACUCCCACCCCUGUGGACAUGGCUGUGGUACUGUGGGUGGCCUGACAGCUCUUGUGUUUGUGGAGCAACAAGUUCAAGGAGAGCAGGGUUGCAGGAAGGGCAGUGGUAGGAAGAGGUGAAGUGACCCAUGUUGGCCAGUGUCACUGAGGCAGGGCCCGCAGGAGCGAAGUGUCCUUCGCCACAUGACGGACGCCACGGGGAAUUUUAGUCAGAGGAGAGAUGUGAUCCUUUGUCCUCUCCUUCAAAGCCUGCCCUGGCCGGUGUGGGUGAGGCGUGGGGAGUCACAGAACACAAGAGGUGGAAGUCUCCAUUUCUAAGAACGAAUGGGUCUCUCCCUUGGCCCGCGUUCUGCUCGAGACUCAUGUGGGUGUCCACUGCGGCCUCACACAGGGCUCCUAGCAGCAGUGCUCAUACCAGCCAAGCACAGGAACAACUCGAACGCCCACCAGCUGCUGGCUGGAGACCAAGCUGUGUUCAUCCUCCAGCAACGCCUGUACAGCACAAGAGGGAAGACUCAGCAGUAACAAUGCUGGCGCCACACGAGGGUCACAUCAGCACAACAUGAAGGAGCCUGGGCGUGCAGGACCACAGCUGUGAGACCGACUCCAUCUGUGGCAUCCGGAGAGCGCAGAGCUGUGGGUGGAGACAGAAGGAAGCAGCGACCAAGAUAGCCAGGCC